Portunus trituberculatus (swimming crab) is the source of this 2519-nucleotide long non-coding RNA. RefSeq lists it as uncharacterized. The record is from RefSeq and is a predicted model, not a curated record. Lineage: Eukaryota; Metazoa; Arthropoda; Malacostraca; Decapoda; Portunidae. The transcript has 6 exons.
GUUAGCUGGACGGUGGGUCGAGGAAGCAUUCUCUGAGACACACAACACGCAGGCUGCUCCUCGUUCCGUUAGAGGGAGAUUUUUUGCAAGCCCAGGCCGUGUUGCGUGGAGGUUAAUUAAAGGAGGAAAGUCACUGAGCCUCGCCCUCCACCACCACUACCACCACCACCACCAACUGAUCUAUCCUCCACGAAGGCCGCGGCAGGGCAGGCCACAGGAUGCAGGACGAGGCAGUGCUGCUCUUUGUGAUGACAUGACAGUCUUCUGCUCAAGGCGGUGAAGAAAAUAGCGUGUUGUUACUAUGUAGAUGAGAGAGAUGGAGAGAGGCGGACGAAAGCGAGGAGGAAGAGAGGCAGACAGAUGAACCGCAAGGACUAAGAAUUUGUUGAGGCGCUGCGUCGUCCUGCUGUGCGUGACUCCGAUGCAGUUCCAGCAGACGUGUCCUUCGUCAUCAGCUCCCGAACUUCUCGGAUUUCAACGCAACAGUGUGGCCGUGUGGCUCCAGAUCACUCCCUACGGAUGGCAAGACUGAGUGCGGCUGUGGUGGCUAGCAUCAGACAACCGAGAUUACGAGACCGAUACGAGCGACUGAGAAGACGGACGAACAGCAAGAUCCAGAAGGAGUGCUGAUGAUGGACUGCCUGGAGGACAAGACAAGCAACGCCAGCUUCAUCAACCUGGACACCACUCAGCGGCGGGGCCAUGGACUUCAUGACUGAUGGUUAUACACCGUUAUGAGUUGUCAACAAGGAAGAUGUGGGGUUGGAUAGGGUCUUCUGUGUGCGUGGAACUUGUUGGCCUGAGUGAAGAAAUAAGUGUACCGGCGCAAGGAAGAUACGACCCGCAUGAAACUGUAGAAUAAAUAACCAAGCGAUGAUGCAGGGAGGGAAACAGUUCAUAUAUGACGCCAACAACUGAAGGAGCUGUGUAUAAAUCAAAUAAAACGGUUAAAAAGGAAGGAAGUGUUUGAGAUUAAGGGAAUGAACGGUGAGAGAAGAGAAUAAUGGAAUGGAAGUGAGGAUGAGGAAGAGGAGUGAAGAUAGCUUGACAGUGAGAAUGAAAGGGAAAGAGGCAGUGAGGAAGGAAAAGUAAAGCACAGAAAGGACAUGAGGACACUAUCUCACUGCUGUUAUCUCUUCCUACACUGCAGUGAAAAGUUAGCGAUAUUAAUUUAGUCCCCAAAGAUUCAGUCAGCUAAAGGCACCAGAUUAUGCUAUCGCUAUUUAUUUAUUACUAAACUACGCAUUACUCACAAUACCUGACACACACCACUUAUCAAUAUACUGGCUAGACAACACUGCAAAACCUAUCCAUUUUACUAUCUCUUUUCUUCCAGAUGCUUACAAAAACUGCUUUUACGUUGUAUUUAGAAAUCCCUUGCUCAAUCACCAUGACACUUUUCCAAGGCAACAGAGAAAGAAGACUACCCAGGUUUUCAAGACGGUUUCUCUUUAAAUAACUAGACAUUUUGAAAACACGAGGUCCUUCAACUAUAUACUAGAGCCUUUGAAAAUUUGAUGGUGAGACAGCAUUUCAGAAUACGGGCCUUUGUACUGUGUAUUUUAAAAGGGUUGAGGACUGAAGCAAUGGAAAUACAUACAUACAUACACAUGUACAACCCAUUAACUCAUUCCUCCCUCUGAAUGUCUAUUUUUCCUUUCACAGAUUUCCUAUCUAGCUAAACCCUAUCAUGUCGCUCUUCUCCCGCCCAUACCGACCUCUCCCUUCCUGUCACUUUUUAUUCUCUGCUGCCUCAAUUUUGGUUCUUCCCGCCACUAACCCACCAACCAACCAUUCCCUGUCGUUCUCCUCCCUCCUCCUCCUCCUCCUCCUCCUGCAACGAAAAAAUAGGUCAGGUGUGAGACUUACCUGCCGUGGUUGCGUGCAGGUGCUCAGGUGUUGGUGGUGGCACUUUAGAUGAAAUUGGUGAUGACGGUACACUUAACUAGUAAGGCAGGUACAUUCCUUACACGUACACACGCCUAGUUCAUGUGUUCACGCUGAUACGUUCAAUAGUGGGGAGUGCGAAGGUGUGUGGUGUGUGAAAAUGCGAUAUAUUUUUUAUCAUUUCUGUCUUGGGUAUCUCGUCUCUUGCUGCCUUUCAUGCCGAGUUAGUUGUGUGUGUGGGGGAAAGGGGGCUCCAUGUGUUGAUUACUAAACGCUACAGGUGACUAACUCUACUUACCCUGGUGUUCUACAUGUUUGGUUACUAACUUAGAGUGUGUUGGUGGUGGCAGUGCGGCGCUGGAUAAAGCGUUACCAUGACACCACUGCCACGCCACCAACACCAACGGGCCAAAGGUAAUCGUUAGUGAGUGGAACAAGUACUUGAAACAAAUUUUAUUAGUAGUGACGCUACAUCAAAAAUACUUUUCUGUGACACACACACACACACACACACACACACACUCAUCAUAAUCACGAGCUUCACACAUAUUUACCUAAUUUAUUGUAUAAUAUUCUAAUUACCCAAAGCAAAAGACAUCAUAUCCUAAUAAAAAUACACCAUACAAAAAAAA